CCCGAAAUUAACAGAUCAAUAAGAGAAUAUUUUAUAACGUCGUAUAGUUUUUUUUAAUUCUCUUAUAGGAAUGAAAAAUUUUCAAUGUUAAUGAUAACUGGAUAUUAUAUAAAAGUAUUUAGUACUUAAAACAACUUCAAAGUGUUUAGGUUUUGAAGGAGAAGAAUUUUUUAUUUUUUUUAAAUUUUAUGAAAUAAUUUUUUCACUCUUUUUCAAACUUACUAUUUUUUAAUAUUUGUAUCUUCCUUUUCAUGUAAUACUUCAUUUUAUAAUUCUUAUUAUGAAUUUUUUAUGAAAAAAUUAGUAAUUCAUUAAAAUUAUUAUACAGGAAUUCAGCAAACUUUUAUUUCAACUGUUUAUCAAAAACAUAGUUUAAUGUUAAUAAUGAUAUUAAAUUAAUCCUGCCCAGUGAUUUAUUUAACGGCCGCAGUACCUUGACUGUGCUAAGGUAGCAUAAUCAAUUGGCUUUUAAUUAAGGUCUGGAAUGAACGGAUAUAUGAAAAUAAUACUGUCUUUAUAAUAUUUUUGUAAACUUAUUUAUCAGGUGAAAAUACCUGUAUUCAAACAAAAGACGAGAAGACCCUUAGAGUUUUUAUAAUACCUUUUUUUUGUUUUUUGUUGGGGCGACAAGUAAUCAUUCAAACAUUACGUAUAAAAUUUUGAUUCGAGUUUUUUAAAGAAAAUUAAACUACCUUAGGGAUAACAGCUUUAUAUAUUUAUAUGUUUGUGACCUCGAUGUUGGACUAGGAACUAUAUGGCUAGCAGUCAAAAUAGAUUUGUUCUGUUCGAACAAUUAUAUCCUACAUGAUCUGAGUUCAGACCGGCGUAAGCCAGGUCAGUUUCUAUCUUUUUAUUUUUUUAUAUAGUACGAAAGGACCUAUAAA
This 884-nucleotide ribosomal RNA is filed under the name Planorbarius corneus. Its description in RNAcentral is "16S ribosomal RNA". The stretch from base 313 to 558 matches the Rfam family "Archaeal large subunit ribosomal RNA", at positions 1786 to 2143 of the family's 2987-position model. Lineage: Eukaryota; Metazoa; Mollusca; Gastropoda; Planorbidae. The record is from RNAcentral.